RNAcentral lists this ribosomal RNA (468 nucleotides) under uncultured bacterium. Its description in RNAcentral is "partial 16S ribosomal RNA". It matches the Rfam family "Bacterial small subunit ribosomal RNA", at positions 28 to 507 of the family's 1533-position model. The record is from RNAcentral.
GACGAACGCUGGCGGCGUGCUUAACACAUGCAAGUCGAACGGAAAGGCCCUGCUUUUGUGGGGUGCUCGAGUGGCGAACGGGUGAGUAACACGUGAGUAACCUGCCCUUGACUUUGGGAUAACUUCAGGAAACUGGGGCUAAUACCGGAUAGGAGCUCCUGCUGCAUGGUGGGGGUUGGAAAGUUUCGGCGGUUGGGGAUGGACUCGCGGCUUAUCAGCUUGUUGGUGGGGUAGUGGCUUACCAAGGCUUUGACGGGUAGCCGGCCUGAGAGGGUGACCGGCCACAUUGGGACGGAGAUACGGCCCAGACUCCUACGGGAGGCAGCAGUGGGGAAGAUUGCACAAUGGGCGGAAGCCUGAUGCAGCAACGCCGCGUGCGGGAUGACGGCCUUCGGGUUGUAAACCGCUUUCGCCUGUGACGAAGCGUGAGUGACGGUAAUGGGUAAAGAAGCACCGGCUAACUACGUG